AUGGCGGAGGCCGCAGGAGCGACUCCUCUCCUCACUGGCCUCCCGGACGAGAUCACCAUCUCGGAGAUCCUCGUCCGCCUGCCCCCCAAACCCCUCCUCCGCUGCCGCGCCGUCAGCCCCGCGUGGCGCCGCGCCACCUCCACCCGCGAUUUCCUCCUGUCCCACCACGCCCGCCAGUCCGCCCUGCCCCUCCUCUACAGCCACAACGACGUCGCCGACGGCGGCCAGUCCCUAGACGUCACGCUCUUCGACCAUCGUGCAGGAGUCGCCGCCGCCGACCAGUUCCAGCGCGUCGCGCGACUGAAGACGGCUCCCUUGGAAGGGGGGAUCGACGGGAGUUUCACUCCCCUCUUCUACCCGGUGGCUUCCUGCGACGGCCUCCUCCUCCUCUCCAUCGACUGUGACCUCUGCAUCUGCAACCCGGCAACUCGACAGUAUGCUCCCCUCGAGCAGCUCGAUGGCUUCAUGACCGUGGGGUUGUACCCUCACCCCCCUACCGGUCAGUACCGACUGUUGCUGUACCAUGAAACAGAUCAACGUGCCAUCUAUGUUUUCUCCAUUGGCUCCAACCAGCCGCCGAGGCGCAUAGGGCGCCCUGAUCCGUUGGCUGACCACGGACUUCUGUUCCGUGGUAGCCUCCAUUGGCACACCGGCAACCGGAUAAUGGUAUUCGACACCACCACUGAGUCGUUCCGGCAGAUCCGUUCCCCGGUUGCCCACGAGGAGGACUAUGGACGACUGUUUGAGAUGGGUGACAUGCUUGGCAUCUUCUUACUUAAUGAUGAAAAGACAACCGUUGAUAUUUGGGUGAUGCAGGACUACCAAGGCGAGGUCUGGGCUUUCAAGUGUCGGGUUGAAUUGCCGGUUGCCGAGAUCAGGGACCAGUCUCAAAAUUCUAGCCAUUAUGAGGAAGUGAUGGUUGUUAAUGGCGACGGCGAGUUGCUCGUGUUGGUCGGUUUUGAGGACUGGCUGUUUCAGGUUGAUAUUGAUGGCAAGUUGAUUGCCAGUUUCCAUGCCAGAGGCCUCCCUUCCUAUAAUAUUGUGCACAAGCAAACUCUUGUUCAACAUACCUUCUUUCCGACACUCGAGGGUUAUGUUAUCAACGAUUCGCCUUUCAUUUGA
RNAcentral lists this ribosomal RNA (1122 nucleotides) under Triticum aestivum (bread wheat). Its description in RNAcentral is "partial small subunit ribosomal RNA". Lineage: Eukaryota; Viridiplantae; Streptophyta; Magnoliopsida; Poales; Poaceae. The record is from RNAcentral.